Molecule: ribosomal RNA, 305 nt
Filed under: uncultured bacterium
Lineage: Bacteria
Description: partial 16S ribosomal RNA
Rfam family: Bacterial small subunit ribosomal RNA
Source: RNAcentral
GUCCUACGGGGGGCAGCAGUGGGGAAUAUUGCACAAUGGGGGGAACCCUGAUGCAGCGACGCCGCGUGGGUGAAGGAGUAUUUCGGUAUGUAAAGCCCUAUCAGCAGGGAAGAACAAUGACGGUACCUGACUAAGAAGCCCCGGCUAACUACGUGCCAGCAGCCGCGGUAAUACGUAGGGGGCAAGCGUUAUCCGGAUUUACUGGGUGUAAAGGGAGCGUAGACGGCGAUGCAAGUCUGAAGUGAAAGGCGGGGGCCUAACCCCCGGACUGCUUUGGAAACUGUAUAGCUGGAGUGCAGGAGAGG